GAAAUGCGAUAAGUAAUGUGAAUUGCAGAAUUCCGUGAAUCAUCGAGUUUUUGAACGCACAUUGCGCCCCCUGGUAUUCCGGGGGGCAUGCCUGUUCGAGCGUCAUUACAACCCUCAAGCUCUGCUUGGUGUUGGGCCCCGCCGCCCCGGCGGGCCCUAAAAUCAGUGGCGGUGCCGUCCGGCUCCGAGCGUAGUAAUUCUUCUCGCUCUGGAGGUCCGGGUGUGUGCUCGCCAGCAACCCCCAAUUUUUUUCAGGUUGACCUCGGAUCAGGUAGGGAUACCCGCUGAACUUAA
Molecule: unclassified non-coding RNA, 294 nt
Filed under: uncultured Pseudogymnoascus
Lineage: Eukaryota; Fungi; Ascomycota; Leotiomycetes; Myxotrichaceae
Description: sequence contains ITS1
Rfam family: 5.8S ribosomal RNA (bases 1-105)
Source: RNAcentral